RNAcentral lists this ribosomal RNA (497 nucleotides) under uncultured bacterium. RNAcentral's name for it is "partial 16S ribosomal RNA". It matches the Rfam family "Bacterial small subunit ribosomal RNA", at positions 28 to 507 of the family's 1533-position model. The record is from RNAcentral.
GACGAACGCUGGCGGCGUGCCUAAUACAUGCAAGUUGAGCGCUGAAGGUUGGUACUUGUACCAACUGGAUGAGCAGCGAACGGGUGAGUAACGCGUGGGGAAUCUGCCUUUGAGCGGGGGACGACAUUUGGAAACGAAUGCUAAUACCGCAUAAAAACUUUAAACACAAGUUUUAAGUUUGAAAGAUGCAAUUGCAUCACUCAAAGAUGAUCCCGCGUUGUAUUAGCUAGUUGGUGAGGUAAAGGCUCACCAAGGCGAUGAUACAUAGCCGACCUGAGAGGGUGAUCGGCCACAUUGGGACUGGGACACGGCCCAAACUCCUACGGGAGGCAGCAGUAGGGAAUCUUCGGCAAUGGACGAAAGUCUGACCGAGCAACGCCGCGUGAGUGAAGAAGGUUUUCGGAUCGUAAAACUCUGUUGGUAGAGAAGAACGUUGGUGAGAGUGGAAAGCUCAUCAAGUGACGGUAACUACCCAGAAAGGGACGGCUAACUACGUG